This is a long non-coding RNA of Bubalus bubalis (water buffalo), 702 nucleotides long. RefSeq lists it as uncharacterized. The transcript has 2 exons. NCBI's taxonomy places the organism in Eukaryota, Metazoa, Chordata, Mammalia, Artiodactyla, Bovidae. The record is from RefSeq and is a predicted model, not a curated record.
GGAAGAAGGAAAAGUCACCAGCCUUCUCCUUGAGCCGCUGUGGUCAGCGCCCGGGAGGCAAGUGCUGUUACAUCGGCGCUAUUACACCUACGGAGAGCGAUGACGAUCUAAAUGUCUGCCAAGAGAGGAAUGCAUAAAGAUACUAAGUGCAACACAUCAAAAGAAAAAAGAGUAAUGACCUCUCACGAAUGAAAAGAGUGCAUCCAGGUCAAGACAAGGAGAGGUGAAGCAUAGUCACACGUGGGUUGCCUGAGCUGUACACCAUUUUCAUCUGGUCAUGCAGAGUUGUUGCGAACAUAGUCACAGUAUGUUCUACUGUUCACACAAUAACUUUGAAUGGGCUACACAAACACUUAUUAUUAAAGAUUUUUUCAUGACAAUCCAAGAAAUUUUGAGUUCAGAUUCUUCUUUUCUUAAGUUCUUAUUUAGUCUGAAGCUAACUGCUUUGAAUAAUCUCCCCAGAUUCUCAACAAUCCUAUUAAUAAUAUGAAACUUUUCUUAUUUCCAGAAUCCAUUUCUAUCUUGGACCACAUGUUUAAAAAAACUGCAAAAAUUAGAAUUUGUAUCUUUAUUGCAUAUACCUUUAAAAUGUGUAUGUGCAGAUGUAGAAACUUGUACCCAUAAUUUCAUUAACAUAAAAAUUUACUUGGAAAUAAUAAAAUUAUGAUUUACACCUGUUAUUUCUCGAGCUGAUUUUCACCA